This is a long non-coding RNA of Rosa chinensis, 1144 nucleotides long. RefSeq lists it as uncharacterized. Lineage: Eukaryota; Viridiplantae; Streptophyta; Magnoliopsida; Rosales; Rosaceae. The transcript has 3 exons. The record is from RefSeq and is a predicted model, not a curated record.
CCUAACGUCCGGCCACCCCAUUGAUCAUCAAUGUAAACUAUCUCCGUCGUAAUUGCAAGCCACCGUUAUGAUUUCAAUUUCGGAGAAGAGAUUACGGGACAAUAAUUACUUAGUCGGUUUACGUUUCGAAAUUAAUUUGACGAUGGCCGCAGAACAAAUCCUACUCGCCCACCUAGUUCCUCCCCUGGAGGGCUUUUUGGAAUUCAUCUGGGUACCGCUGUCAGAGGUGAUUUAUGGCAAAGAAGGAGUAUCCCUAUCUAGAGUACAGGUGUGAUUUAUUGAAGUUUGGACGUGUGAUGACGGAUGAGCUUAGAGCAGACAUAACACAAGAGAAACUAGUUUUGAUCCAGAGAACACCAUUUGGGAGCUUGUUUAUGGCGUAUUACAAUGGUACAUUAAUAGAAUCUGCUUGCAAAAAAUCUGAUUUGGAAAUAGUGGCUCUCUUGAAGUGUUUUAACCAGCAAAACAAAAGUUUUAAUUUUGGGGAGUUCACCGGUACUAUAACCAGCAAAGACAUCUCUGAGUUGUUUGGCUUAACACUCAUGGGGGAAGAAAUUAACCUAGAUCAGAAGAAGAAGAAAGAGGAUAGAGGUAACAAAAAAAUAUAGGCAACAAGGAGUGCACUACCUUAACAAUUCGACUCCGGAAAAGUGUUUUGAUGGGUUCAAAGAUUGUGUCGUCAGUUGUAGCAGACCAAAUUCGAAGCAAACCAUUGAUGAAGCCUAUUGAAAUCGUAAAAGAUUUCAAGCACAACUAUGGAUUGGAUAUAUCUUAUUAUAAUGCAUGGAACGGUAAAGAGUUGGCAAAAAUUCAAGUUCACGGCGAUGAGGAAUCGUCGUAUACUCAGUUGCUAUGGUAUGUUGAUGCAUUGAUGAAGACAAACCAGACUCUUCAUAUCAUACCAUGCCUCCAUAGAAGGUUACAAAUUUUGCAGACCAUUCCUUUGUCUUGAUGGAUCCCAUAUAAAAAAUAAAUACAAAGGACAUUUGCUGGGCGCAACUGGGAAUAAUGGUAACCAAGGUAUAUAUCCCCUGGCUUUUGCUAUAGUUGACUCUGAAGAUGAAAGUACCACUGUCAGAGGUAAGGUCUGGGUUCUUUCUUGUCUGAAUUCAUCGGGUGUACAGUUAUGCCUCUGGUCUAGGUG